This is a non-coding RNA of Cinara cedri, 284 nucleotides long. The record is from the annotation of a GenBank genome assembly. NCBI's taxonomy places the organism in Eukaryota, Metazoa, Arthropoda, Insecta, Hemiptera, Aphididae.
GAGGUUGUAGUAAUUCAAAAAUAAGGCGGGAGGUGCCUAGUUAUGUAAAUUCGAUUCACACGUAUAAAUUAAUUAUAAAUUUGAUUACCUUUCUUCUUCAGGCGGCAAAUUGAUAUGUUGNGGUUCCCGUGCUUUUGUAAGAAUCUCUGCGUAGUCUUUUACACUCGCUUGUGAUCAUCUGUCCAAAAGCAACGGGAACAAUACAUACACUGUGUGUUUAUUGGAAGUGGCCGGCCUCCUUAUAACUGGAGAAAUAUGUGUGUGUGCGUGUGUAAAUGUGCUAU